Long non-coding RNA from Engraulis encrasicolus (European anchovy), 620 nucleotides. RefSeq lists it as uncharacterized. NCBI's taxonomy places the organism in Eukaryota, Metazoa, Chordata, Actinopteri, Clupeiformes, Engraulidae. The transcript has 5 exons. The record is from RefSeq and is a predicted model, not a curated record.
CUCGCCUGCAGCCCAAACAGUCAUCGCCCUGUCUCGGCCUAUACCCAAACCAGCUGUUACCUCUACCCAGUGAUGUGCCUUCAUCCGCAGCCAAAACGAAGUCUCAUGCAGCACCCAGGACUGUGCCCUCGUCAGCAGCCCAAACGGUCAUCGCCCUGUCUCAGCUUCUACCCAGGUCUCCCAACUGCGGUCUGCAUCUCUACUCUCAGCCCACUCACCUGCUGUUCCCACCACCUUGUUUCAUCUUCUGUUGACCAUUCAUACUGUUCCCACGGUUGUGCCCUCGUCUGCAGCCCAAACGGUCAUCGCCCUGUCUCAGCCUCCACCCAAACCAGCUGUUACUCUGCCCAGUGAUGUGCCUUCAACCGCAGCCAAAAUGAUAAUUGCAUGCAGUACCCAGUAGCCCACGACUGUGCCCUUGUCAGCAGCCCAAAUGGUCAUCGCCCUGUCUCAGCCUCUGCCCCAGCCUCUGCCCUAACCAGCUGUUGCUACCUCUGUCCAGUGAUGAUUCAUCACAUGUAGCUGAACCGACCAUUCAUGCAGUACCCACGGCUGUGCCCUCAUCUGCAGCCUAACUGCUCACCGCCCCGUCUCAGCCUCUGCCCUCGUCUGCAGCCCAA